Molecule: small RNA, 713 nt
Filed under: Pan troglodytes (chimpanzee)
Lineage: Eukaryota; Metazoa; Chordata; Mammalia; Primates; Hominidae
Description: retained intron
Source: RNAcentral
GGGCCGGGCACGGUGGCUCACGCCUGUAAUCCCAGCACUUUGGGAGGCCGAGGCGGGUGGAUCACAAGGUCAGGAGAUCGAGACCAUCCUGGCUAACAUGGUGAAACCCUAUCUCUACUAAAAACACAAAAAAUUAGCCUGGCAUGGUGGCGGGCACCUGUGGUCCCAGCUACUCAGGAGGCUGGGGCAGGAGAAUGGCGUGAACCCGGGAGGCGGAGCUUGCAGUGAGCUGAGAUGGCACCACUGCCCUCCAGCCUGGGUGACAGAGUGAGACUGUCUCAAAAAAAAAAAAAAAAGAAAGAAAGAAAAGGUACCUACUCUCUUACUACUGAAAACACACCAUUAUUUUGCCUUUCAAUAUGAUAUUAAAAUUUACUGCUCAAAACCUCUUGUAUUUUUAAAUUUAACCAUAGAAUAUUACCACAAAUUUAGCGCCUACUGUAUAUUUACCUUUUCAAAUGCUUUCUGCUAGGCUUUUUCACUACUGAUGUCUGAAUGGAAGUAUCCUGGACCACUAUGUAAAUUUGACUAUCGUUCAGAAAUAAAACUGGGAUUAAAGACCAAGCAAUUAAUUUGAAUUAUUUUAUUCUAGUUCCAAAAGCUGAGACAAGAUCUUGAAAUGGUACUGUCCACUAUGGAGUCAAAGAAUGAAAAGUUAAAGGAAGACUUAGAAAGGGAACAACGGUGGUUGGAUGAACAGCAACAGAUAAUGG